AGAUGGCUUCCAACCAUCUAGCCCUGGUUUAAAUCCGGGAGAAAAUA
Molecule: transfer RNA, 47 nt
Filed under: Kaloula pulchra (Malaysian narrowmouth toad)
Lineage: Eukaryota; Metazoa; Chordata; Amphibia; Anura; Microhylidae
Description: partial tRNA-Gly
Source: RNAcentral